GAUGAACGCUGGCGGCGUGCCUAAUACAUGCAAGUCGAGCGAACAGACGAGGAGCUUGCUCCUUUGACGUUAGCGGCGGACGGGUGAGUAAGACGUAGGUAACCUACUUAUAAGACUGGGAUAACUUCGGGAAAACGGAGCUAAUACUGGAUAAUAUUUCGAACCGCAUGGUUCGAUAGUGAAAGAUGGCUUUGCUAUCACUUAUAGAUGGACCUGCGCCGUAUUAGCUAGUUGGUAAGGUAACGGCUUACCAAGGCAACGAUACGUAGCCGACCUGAGAGGAUGAUCAGCCACACUGGAACUGAGACACGGUCCAGACUCCUACGGGAGGCAGCAGUAGGGAAUCUUCCGCAAUGGGCGAAAGCCUGACGGAGCAACGCCGCGUGAGUGAUGAAGGUCUUCGGAUCGUAAAACUCUGUUAUUAGGGAAGAACAAACGUGUAAGUAACUGUGCACGUCUUGACGGUACCUAAUCAGAAAGCCACGGCUAACUACGUG
RNAcentral lists this ribosomal RNA (497 nucleotides) under uncultured bacterium. RNAcentral's name for it is "partial 16S ribosomal RNA". It matches the Rfam family "Bacterial small subunit ribosomal RNA", at positions 28 to 507 of the family's 1533-position model. The record is from RNAcentral.